Molecule: long non-coding RNA, 520 nt
Organism: Tympanuchus pallidicinctus (lesser prairie-chicken)
Lineage: Eukaryota; Metazoa; Chordata; Aves; Galliformes; Phasianidae
Exons: 4
Source: RefSeq, a predicted model, not a curated record
AUCUCUGCCCUUGCACCAGGGAUCUCAGCAUCCCAGGGUUACUCCAAGGCCUUGCACCAAGGAUCUCAGCAUCCCAGGGUUACUCCAAGGCCUUGCACCAAGGAUCUCAGCAUCCCAGGGUUACUCCAAGGCCUUGCACCAAGGAUCUCAGCAUCCCAGCGUUACUCCAAGGCCUUGCACCAAGGAUCUCAGCAUCCCAAGGUUACUCCAAGGCCUUGCACCAAGGAUCUCAGCAUCCCAGGGUUACUCCAAGGCCUUGCACCAGGGAUCUCAGCAUCCCAGGGUUACUCCAAGGCCUUGCACCAAGGAUCUCAGCAUCCCAGGGUUACUCCAAGGCCUUGCACCAGGGAUCUCAGCAUCCCAGGGUUACUCCAAGGCCUUGCACCAAGGAUCUCAGCAUCCCAGGGUUACUCCAAGGCCUUGCACCAAGGAUCUCAGCAUCCCAGGGUUACUCCAAGGCCUUGCACCAGGGAUCUCAGCAUCCCAGGGUUACUCCAAGGCCUUGCACCAAGGAUCUCAG